GACGAACGCUGGCGGCGUGCCUAACACAUGCAAGUCGAACGGAGUUAAGUGCUUCGGUAUUUAACUUAGUGGCGAACGGGUGAGUAACGCGUGAGAAACCUGCCUUUCACUGGGGGAUAACGCAUCGAAAGAUGUGCUAAUACCGCGUAAGACCACAGCAUCGCAUGGUGCAGGGGUCAAAGGAGCAAUCCGGUGGAAGAUGGGCUCGCGUCCGAUUAGCUAGUUGGUGAGAUAACAGCCCACCAAGGCGACGAUCGGUAGCCGACCUGAGAGGGUGAUCGGCCACAUUGGAACUGAGAGACGGUCCAG
RNAcentral lists this ribosomal RNA (309 nucleotides) under uncultured bacterium. Its description in RNAcentral is "bacterial SSU rRNA". It matches the Rfam family "Bacterial small subunit ribosomal RNA", at positions 28 to 334 of the family's 1533-position model. The record is from RNAcentral.